CCCCCACCCCAGCAGUUCUAGUUUAGCCAUUUUCUUCCAUAGAAGGUUUUUUGGCAGACAGUGUUCCACUGCUUUUGUUUAACACUUGAAAACCACUGGCCUAGAAUUUACAGGUUCUCCACAAGACCUGAGGAUCCCAAAGGAGUGAAUCGUAAACAGUGAAUGUCAAGCGCAAGAUGUUGCCUCCUGGCUCCCACCUUCAGCAGUUGGGACCGUAGCAGCGGGGGUUGGAGACAGCAGAAG
Molecule: long non-coding RNA, 243 nt
Filed under: Homo sapiens (human)
Lineage: Eukaryota; Metazoa; Chordata; Mammalia; Primates; Hominidae
Description: HSALNT0238035
Source: RNAcentral